Molecule: ribosomal RNA, 434 nt
Filed under: uncultured bacterium
Lineage: Bacteria
Description: bacterial SSU rRNA
Rfam family: Bacterial small subunit ribosomal RNA
Source: RNAcentral
GCAGUGAGGAAUAUUGGACAAUGGGCGCAAGCCUGAUCCAGCCAUGCCGCGUGCAGGAUGACGGUCCUAUGGAUUGUAAACUGCUUUUGCACAGGAAGAAACACUCGGUCGUGACCGAGCUUGACGGUACUGUGAGAAUAAGGAUCGGCUAACUCCGUGCCAGCAGCCGCGGUAAUACGGAGGAUCCAAGCGUUAUCCGGAAUCAUUGGGUUUAAAGGGUCCGUAGGCGGUUUGGUAAGUCAGUGGUGAAAGCCCAUCGCUCAACGGUGGAACGGCCAUUGAUACUGCCAGACUUGAAUUAUUAGGAAGUAACUAGAAUAUGUAGUGUAGCGGUGAAAUGCUUAGAGAUUACAUGGAAUACCAAUUGCGAAGGCAGGUUACUACUAAUGGAUUGACGCUGAUGGACGAAAGCGUGGGUAGCGAACAGGAUUAGA